GGGGGCGAACCUGGUUUCGACGGGGAUGUUGAAGCAAAGAUAGCGAGUCGUAGUCUCCAAACUACGUUAAAAGUGGAAACUAAAUAUAAACGCAGAAGAUAACAACUUCGCAUUAGCGGCUUAAUGCCGCUUGUCUCCGCCACGAUCCCGUAGCGUGGCCUGAGGCAUCAAACGAAUACGGGCCACCUGAUAUCAUCAAGCUUUGUGUGAUAUCUUGUACUGAUGAAGCUACGCGAUAGUCUACUCUGUCCGUUGAACGGACUUUCGCGGAAUCAAAUAUAACGGAAUGCACUCGGAGAAGUCUCUGUGAACGCAUUUUCGGACGUGGGUUCGACACCCACCGCCUCCACCA
This 352-nucleotide transfer-messenger RNA is filed under the name pig gut metagenome. It matches the Rfam family "transfer-messenger RNA". From Rfam's summary of the family: Bacterial tmRNA, also known as 10Sa RNA or SsrA, is named for its dual tRNA and mRNA-like properties. Its role is to liberate the mRNA from a stalled ribosome. The record is from RNAcentral.